This 1341-nucleotide ribosomal RNA is filed under the name uncultured bacterium. RNAcentral's name for it is "partial 16S ribosomal RNA". It matches the Rfam family "Bacterial small subunit ribosomal RNA", at positions 28 to 1381 of the family's 1533-position model. The record is from RNAcentral.
GACGAACGCUGGCGGCGUGCUUAACACAUGCAAGUCGAACGGUAAGGCUCCAGCUUGCUGGGGUACACGAGUGGCGAACGGGUGAGUAACACGUGGGUGACCUGCCCUGCACUUCGGGAUAAGCCUGGGAAACUGGGUCUAAUACCGGAUAGGACCGCACCGUGAGGGUGUGGUGGAAAGUUUUUUCGGUGUGGGAUGGGCCCGCGGCCUAUCAGCUUGUUGGUGGGGUAAUGGCCUACCAAGGCGGCGACGGGUAGCCGGCCUGAGAGGGUGGACGGCCACAUUGGGACUGAGACACGGCCCAGACUCCUACGGGAGGCAGCAGUGGGGAAUAUUGCACAAUGGGCGGAAGCCUGAUGCAGCGACGCCGCGUGGGGGAUGACGGCCUUCGGGUUGUAAACUCCUUUCACCAUCGACGAAGGGUUUCUGACGGUAGAUGGAGAAGAAGCACCGGCUAACUACGUGCCAGCAGCCGCGGUAAUACGUAGGGUGCGAGCGUUGUCCGGAAUUACUGGGCGUAAAGAGCUCGUAGGUGGUUUGUCGCGUCGUCUGUGAAAUUCCGGGGCUUAACUCCGGGCGUGCAGGCGAUACGGGCAUAACUUGAGUACUGUAGGGGAGACUGGAAUUCCUGGUGUAGCGGUGAAAUGCGCAGAUAUCAGGAGGAACACCGGUGGCGAAGGCGGGUCUCUGGGCAGUAACUGACGCUGAGGAGCGAAAGCAUGGGGAGCGAACAGGAUUAGAUACCCUGGUAGUCCAUGCCGUAAACGGUGGGCGCUAGGUGUGGGUUUCCUUCCACGGGAUCCGUGCCGUAGCUAACGCAUUAAGCGCCCCGCCUGGGGAGUACGGCCGCAAGGCUAAAACUCAAAGGAAUUGACGGGGGCCCGCACAAGCGGCGGAGCAUGUGGAUUAAUUCGAUGCAACGCGAAGAACCUUACCUGGGCUUGACAUAUACAGGAUCGCGCCAGAGAUGGUGUUUCCCUUGUGGCUUGUAUACAGGUGGUGCAUGGUUGUCGUCAGCUCGUGUCGUGAGAUGUUGGGUUAAGUCCCGCAACGAGCGCAACCCUUGUCUUAUGUUGCCAGCAUGUUGUGGUGGGGACUCGUAAGAAACUGCCGGGGUUAACUCGGAGGAAGGUGGGGAUGACGUCAAAUCAUCAUGCCCCUUAUGUCCAGGGCUUCACACAUGCUACAAUGGUCGGUACAGUGGGUUGCCAGUCCGUGAGGGCGAGCUAAUCCCGCAAAGCCGGUCUCAGUUCGGAUCGGGGUCUGCAACUCGACCCCGUGAAGUCGGAGUCGCUAGUAAUCGCAGAUCAGCAACGCUGCGGUGAAUACGUUCCCGGGCCU